RNAcentral lists this ribosomal RNA (564 nucleotides) under Raffaelea sp. Its description in RNAcentral is "partial large subunit ribosomal RNA". It matches the Rfam family "Eukaryotic large subunit ribosomal RNA", at positions 62 to 645 of the family's 3401-position model. Lineage: Eukaryota; Fungi; Ascomycota; Sordariomycetes; Ophiostomatales; Ophiostomataceae. The record is from RNAcentral.
AAACCAACAGGGAUUGCCUCAGUAACGGCGAGUGAAGCGGCAACAGCUCAGAUUUGGAAUCUGGCCCCCUCGGGGGCCCGAGUUGUAAUCUGGAGAGGAUGCUUCUGGCGCGGCGCCUGGCGAGUUCCCUGGAACGGGACGCCGGAGAGGGUGAGAGCCCCGUACUCCAGGACGCCUAGCCUCUGUGAAGCUCCUUCGACGAGUCGAGUAGUUUGGGAAUGCUGCUCUAAAUGGGAGGUAAAUUUCUUCUAAAGCUAAAUACCGGCCAGAGACCGAUAGCGCACAAGUAGAGUGAUCGAAAGAUGAAAAGCACUUUGAAAAGAGGGUCAAACAGUACGUGAAAUUGUUGAAAGGGAAGCGCCCGUGGCCAGACUUGCGCCCCGCGGCUCACCCGGCGGACUCCGCCGGGGCACGCCGCGGGGUGCAGGCCAGCAUCGGCUCUUCCAGGGGGACAAGGACGGCGGGAACGUGGCUCCUCCGGGAGUGUUAUAGCCCGCCGCGCCAUGCCCCUGGGGGGGCCGAGGACCGCGCUUCGGCAAGGAUGCUGGCGUAAUGGCCACCGGC